GGACUGUAGCUCAGUUGGCAGAGUGCUUGCCUCUGACAUACAAGGCCCUGGGUUCAAUCCCCAGCACCA
RNAcentral lists this transfer RNA (69 nucleotides) under Marmota monax (woodchuck). RNAcentral describes it as "tRNA.Gln". The record is from RNAcentral. Lineage: Eukaryota; Metazoa; Chordata; Mammalia; Rodentia; Sciuridae.